AUCAAAAAAAUCAAGUGAUUGUGACUUGUGAGGGAAGAAGAAUUUAACUCAACUAAUCCAAGUGAAAAUGCACUGAAGAUCAUCAUGGAAAGUCAGAAUAAUCCAUGGAAAGUGGUCGAAGACAAAAGGAUAUUGCCGGCAAUAUCGGUGAAUUCGGUGGUAUUAUGCUUUCUAUUGAUUAUUAUUCCAGCACUAAGGAUGUCAUCAUUUGGUGAUAAAAUGAUGACAGAUCAUAUUGAUAGUGUUAAGGUCAUUUCCAUAGCUAUUGUUGUAUUUUUCCAACUAAUGAUAUUUUUUAUUUUAGAAAGGCAUCCGGUUAACAAGAACGUCAUUCCCAUCUUAUACAUAUUGGUGCUAUUAACUGCAACAACAGUUAUACAAAUGGGCAUCGCUGCAAUCAUUUUAGGUUUCUACACUUUGAUUGUAUGGGUGGUCUUAAUUGCAUUGAAUAUUUAUCGACAUUGGGAAGAGGUAUGUAAGGUAGAUAGAGUAGUUUUGAG
Long non-coding RNA from Lathyrus oleraceus (garden pea), 500 nucleotides. RefSeq lists it as uncharacterized. The record is from RefSeq and is a predicted model, not a curated record. The transcript has 3 exons. Lineage: Eukaryota; Viridiplantae; Streptophyta; Magnoliopsida; Fabales; Fabaceae.